UACAGAGGUUGCAAGCGUUAAUCGGAAUUACUGGGCGUAAAGCGCGCGUAGGUGGCAAGUUAAGUCGGAUGUGAAAGCCCUGGGCUCAACCUAGGAAUUGCAUUCGAUACUGGCUAGCUCGAGUUUGGUAGAGGAGAGUGGAAUUCCCGGUGUAGCGGUGAAAUGCGUAGAUAUGUGGAGGAAUACCGAUGGCGAAGGCAGCCCCCUGGGUCGAUACUGACGCUCAUGCACGAAAGCGUGGGGAGCAAACAGG
This 253-nucleotide ribosomal RNA is filed under the name uncultured bacterium. RNAcentral describes it as "partial 16S ribosomal RNA". It matches the Rfam family "Bacterial small subunit ribosomal RNA", at positions 524 to 776 of the family's 1533-position model. The record is from RNAcentral.